This 76-nucleotide transfer RNA is filed under the name Nitrospina gracilis Nb-211. Its description in RNAcentral is "tRNA-Lys". It matches the Rfam family "tRNA". Rfam says of the family: Transfer RNA (tRNA) molecules are approximately 80 nucleotides in length. The record is from RNAcentral. Lineage: Bacteria; Pseudomonadati; Nitrospinota; Nitrospinia; Nitrospinales; Nitrospinaceae. RNAcentral also lists the same sequence under 11 other names.
GGGCCGUUAGCUCAACUGGCAGAGCAACUGACUCUUAAUCAGUAGGUUGAAGGUUCGAUUCCUUCACGGCUCACCA